RNAcentral lists this ribosomal RNA (1224 nucleotides) under Rathayibacter sp. Its description in RNAcentral is "bacterial SSU rRNA". It matches the Rfam family "Bacterial small subunit ribosomal RNA", at positions 104 to 1339 of the family's 1533-position model. Lineage: Bacteria; Bacillati; Actinomycetota; Actinomycetes; Micrococcales; Microbacteriaceae. The record is from RNAcentral.
GGGUGAGUAACACGUGAGUAACCUGCCCUUGACUCUGGGAUAAGCGCUGGAAACGGCGUCUAAUACCGGAUACGACCUACCCCGGCAUCGGGUGUGGGUGGAAAGUUUUUCGGUCAAGGAUGGACUCGCGGCCUAUCAGGUAGUUGGUGAGGUAAAGGCUCACCAAGCCGACGACGGGUAGCCGGCCUGAGAGGGUGACCGGCCACACUGGGACUGAGACACGGCCCAGACUCCUACGGGAGGCAGCAGUGGGGAAUAUUGCACAAUGGGCGAAAGCCUGAUGCAGCAACGCCGCGUGGGGGAUGACGGCCUUCGGGUUGUAAACCUCUUUUAGUAGGGAAGAAGGACUUCGGUUUGACGGUACCUGCAGAAAAAGCACCGGCUAACUACGUGCCAGCAGCCGCGGUAAUACGUAGGGUGCAAGCGUUGUCCGGAAUUAUUGGGCGUAAAGAGCUCGUAGGCGGUUUGUCGCGUCUGCUGUGAAAACCCGAGGCUCAACCUCGGGCCUGCAGUGGGUACGGGCAGACUAGAGUGCGGUAGGGGAGAAUGGAAUUCCUGGUGUAGCGGUGGAAUCGCAGAUAUCAGGAGGAACACCGAUGGCGAAGGCAGUUCUCUGGGCCGUUACUGACGCUGAGGAGCGAAAGCGUGGGGAGCGAACAGGAUUAGAUACCCUGGUAGUCCACGCCGUAAACGUUGGGAACUAGAUGUGGGGACCUUUCCACGGUCUCCGUGUCGCAGCUAACGCAUUAAGUUCCCCGCCUGGGGAGUACGGCCGCAAGGCUAAAACUCAAAGGAAUUGACGGGGGCCCGCACAAGCGGCGGAGCAUGCGGAUUAAUUCGAUGCAACGCGAAGAACCUUACCAAGGCUUGACAUAUACCGGAAACUGCCAGAAAUGGUGGCCCCGCAAGGUCGGUAUACAGGUGGUGCAUGGUUGUCGUCAGCUCGUGUCGUGAGAUGUUGGGUUAAGUCCCGCAACGAGCGCAACCCUCGUUCUAUGUUGCCAGCACGUUAUGGUGGGAACUCAUAGGAGACUGCCGGGGUCAACUCGGAGGAAGGUGGGGAUGACGUCAAAUCAUCAUGCCCCUUAUGUCUUGGGCUUCACGCAUGCUACAAUGGCCGGUACAAAGGGCUGCGAUACCGUAAGGUGGAGCGAAUCCCAAAAAGCCGGUCUCAGUUCGGAUUGAGGUCUGCAACUCGACCUCAUGAAGUCGGAGUCCUUUAGU